CAGCUGGGGAGAAGCACCUGCUUUGCAAGCAGGGGGUCGUCGGUUCGAUCCCGUCUGCCUCCACCAAUCUUCAAUGACAAACGUUCAGGGAUACUGAGCAGUUGUCAUUGGCGAUUGAGCCAGUCAGAGGAUGAGCGAGAAGUAGCGCUUAUCGGCUGUCGUUCUUUAACAAUCUGGAAGAAGUAGUAAAGUGGAUAGCGGAAGCGCUUAUUUGAGAUGGGCGUGGAAGUUAUCCGGGUUGGGAUUGUAUCGAUGUAUCUCAAGAUGAU
Molecule: unclassified non-coding RNA, 269 nt
Filed under: Burkholderia glumae
Lineage: Bacteria; Pseudomonadati; Pseudomonadota; Betaproteobacteria; Burkholderiales; Burkholderiaceae
Description: partial 16S-23S ribosomal RNA intergenic spacer
Rfam family: tRNA (bases 1-63)
Source: RNAcentral